This 473-nucleotide ribosomal RNA is filed under the name uncultured archaeon. Its description in RNAcentral is "bacterial SSU rRNA". It matches the Rfam family "Archaeal small subunit ribosomal RNA", at positions 343 to 819 of the family's 1478-position model. The record is from RNAcentral.
ACACUGUGCAAUGCGCGAAAGCGCGACACGGGGAGCUUGAGUGUCUUGGCAUAGCCAAGACUUUUCUCAUUCCUAAAAAGCAUGAGGAAUAAGUGCUGGGUAAGACGGGUGCCAGCCGCCGCGGUAACACCCGCAGCACGAGUAGUGGUCACUUUUAUUGAGCCUAAAGCGUUCGUAGCCGGUUUUGUAAAUCUUCAGAUAAAGCCUGAAGCUUAACUCCAGAAAGUCUGAAGAGACUGCAAGNCUUGAGAUCGGGUGAGGUUAAACGUACUUUCAGGGUAGGGGUAAAAUCCUGUAAUCCCGGAAGGACGACCAGUGGCGAAAGCGUUUAACUAGAACGAAUCUGACGGUAAGGAACGAAGGCUAGGGUAGCAAACCGGAUUAGAUACCCGGGUAGUCCUAGCUGUAAACACUGCCCACUUGAUGUUGCAUUUCCGGUGAGGGAAGGCAGUGUCGGAGCGAAGGUGUUAACG